This 2098-nucleotide long non-coding RNA is filed under the name Mus pahari (shrew mouse). RNAcentral's name for it is "lncRNA (MGP_PahariEiJ_G0004616.1)". Lineage: Eukaryota; Metazoa; Chordata; Mammalia; Rodentia; Muridae. The record is from RNAcentral.
UGCAGUAAGAUUAGGCACUUCUUCUAUUGAGGCUACCAGAGACUCUGUAGGGGGAAAUGGUCCCGAAGGUGCGGCAGGAAAUGGCUGACCCCUCACCCUGCCCCUGCGGUGACCUCAACCCUGCUCCUGAGGACCACCCUCCCCGCUGCCUAAGGCAGAUCCAUGAUCACCUCUCCAGGUUGGUUGCCAAACACCGGAGGAUGAAGCGCGAACGGAGAGGUUACUGCAAGAAGAUGAAAGUCACUUAAGCUUUCAUUGUUGCCUUCAAGUUUGUUCGUGAGAGGAUGGAUAAUCAAUAUUGACAGCACAGAAGUCCAAUCUGUCCAGAACUAGAGGUUGGUCUAGUACAGACUAAAGAUAAAAGAAAAAGAUGUGUAGCAUGUCCAACAAUGGGCAGAAAAUUUCCAAGGUCUUCUAGAAAUAGAACUUUUUUUUUUUUCCUAAUUGGUCCAUUUGUGUGGGUCUUCUUGGCUUUCCACAAAGAGGCUCAAGCUCUGAAUGCAGAUUCACAGUAAUUUCUAUAGUCUCUGCUCCGCCCCUCUCUCUGCUCACCAGGUCUCAGGGCAGAGCCCUGGAGAAGCCCUUCAAUAAGUACUUAUGGAAUUGCAUAUUAGCCCAGGCAUUUAGCUUGUCCUUUUCGUUUUAAUGUUUCAGUUUUACAUCUUGAUGGAUCCCCUCUAUCCUUCAUAUUUCUCAUCUCUUACCCUACUGCUCAUGGCUGAAUUGUGAUGUCCUGGGAAUGUCUGUGUUACCACCUAUGUCAAGGCCUUAUCUAGCAUCUAGGCUCACAUUAAGGAGAAACAAAAGCAUCUUGAGAAAAAAAGAAAGCACAUGGAAAUAUUUUUUGAACACACUAAAUAAUGUAACAUAAGUCUUUGACUUUUCCUAGAAGAGAAACGCAGCAGAGAAGGUAGAUUAACUCAGCAGGUAUAAUAAUAAGCUCAUAAAAAUUGAAGCAAAAAUACAAAAAAGUAGGGGAAUUAAUGCGAGACCAGAAUGUUUUCAAGUAUAGAGCAUUGCUUAAUUUGAACAUGCAGUAAAAUCUACGGGCAUUACAUGAAAGCCACAGCUGCAAAGAGAACCCCGAAAGUUCUUAUGCUGUUCUAAACCACAAAGGCUCUGAGAAAACAUUAUGGGUUGAUUGGUUUUUUUGUUUGUUUGUUUGUUUUGUUGUUGUUGUUCUUGUUGUUCGUUUUUUAUCAUUUUGCAACAAACUUAGAAAACAACUGCAAAAGGGACACUCUAAAAUCCACAGAGGCAGAAGGGUGAAGAUGUUUUGUCUGAAGUAGCUUGAAGAAGAGAAACAGUGCUUGUUUUAUCUGUGGGGGGUCACAUUCAGCCACCCUUAUCUUCUUCCCCUGCGCCCUAGAUCACCCCAAAGCAACAGAGUCAUAUGCAAACCAAGAUCACCUUAUCAGCGAACUCCAUAAUUACAAAGGCUGAUAUGGGUGUGAUGGCUAAUGUUGGCUGCCCACUUGGCACACUUGGGAAGAGGGAACUUCAUCUGAAAAAUUGCCUUCACCAGACCUGUUUGUGGGACGUGAGUAUUCCUUGAUGGAGGAGGGAUUAGCCCACUAUGGGUGGUGCCACCCUUAGGCAGGUAAGUUUGGGAUGUAUAAGGAGGGAAGCUGAACAUGAGUCUGGGAGCCAGGCAGUAAGCAGCACUUCUUCAUGGCUUCUGCAUUAGUUCCUGCCUUGAGUUCCUGCCCUGACUUCCCUCAGUGAUGGACUGUAGCUUGAGAACUCUAAGAUGAAAGAAAACCUUUGCUCUUUGGACAAGAGGCAAGUACAACAAUAUCUCUCAAGACAAAGUGAGGUUGGCUGCAAAUUUCACCUUUUGAGUGUUAGAGCAUAAUACCCAUUCUUUGUUUCAGUCUUUUUGUCUGAAUUUCUUCUGAAAUGACCUCCAAGAAGUUGAGGAUACCUCAAAGUGAACAGGGAUAUCCCAUGUCAGCACAGCAGGACAGCAGUGCAUGAGGAGCUGUGCAAAUACUUAUGCUGUCAUACUUUCUCACUAAACAAGAAAAAUUAAAAUAACUCACUCAUUUAUUAACAACAACAAAAGCCUAGAAAAAUAACAAAUAAACAAACAAACAAC